This 257-nucleotide ribosomal RNA is filed under the name uncultured bacterium. RNAcentral's name for it is "partial 16S ribosomal RNA". It matches the Rfam family "Bacterial small subunit ribosomal RNA", at positions 526 to 779 of the family's 1533-position model. The record is from RNAcentral.
CGAAGGGGGCUAGCGUUGUUCGGAAUUACUGGGGCGUAAAAGGGCGCGUAGGCGGCUUUUCAAGUCAGGCGUGAAAUCCCCGGGCUUAACCUGGGAACUGCGCUUGAGACUGGAAGGCUUGAGUUCGGGAGAGGUGAGUGGAAUUCCCAGUGUAGAGGUGAAAUUCGUAGAUAUUGGGAAGAACACCAGCGGCGAAGGCGGCUCACUGGACCGAUACUGACGCUGAGGCGCGAAAGCGUGGGGGAGCAAACAGGAUU